GAUAGUCUAGUGGUUAUGACGUCUGCCUUACACGCAGAAGGUCGCGAGUUCAAUCCUCGCUCCU
This 64-nucleotide transfer RNA is filed under the name Perkinsus olseni. Its description in RNAcentral is "tRNA-Val". It matches the Rfam family "tRNA", at positions 6 to 65 of the family's 71-position model. From Rfam's summary of the family: Transfer RNA (tRNA) molecules are approximately 80 nucleotides in length. Lineage: Eukaryota; Perkinsozoa; Perkinsida; Perkinsidae. The record is from RNAcentral.